Molecule: long non-coding RNA, 3331 nt
Filed under: Triticum aestivum (bread wheat)
Lineage: Eukaryota; Viridiplantae; Streptophyta; Magnoliopsida; Poales; Poaceae
Description: long non-coding RNA (TAES_LNC022171)
Source: RNAcentral
UGAUUUCAAAAGAAUAUUUUGAUUAUAUUUCUUAUUUAAAAGUAAUUGAAGAUGUACAUGGUGGUUAAUCCAACCUUAAUUUUUUAACGCAACAAGGAUAAAACUUGAAACUAACAUAGACUUAAUUAACUAAAUUGUCCCUUGUCCCCAUUUCUUAAACUCCUCACACGCUACUUGCUCCAUUCUCCCCGUGGCCAUGCAACCAUGCCUACCUGUGACCAUGAAAAUCAAUCAAUCAUUAAAAUUCAUGAUCUGACUAUACAAUUCACAAGAUAAAUGAAAUCCAUGUCAACUAAAAUAUAAUUAAAAACACGUCGUUUGUGCUCUGUAGCAGGGAUACAUUAUCAUACGAGCCAGGUUAGAGUACUCGUACCAUGAAUAAAGAAGGCACACAACAUCUGGCAUUAUCACAAAAUCAUACUUGCACACAUUACCACCAGUAGCAAGAUAAACGAGGUGGAUAUCAGCUUUUAAAGCAUGAUUAGGAAUCAAGGCAAACUCUAUUUUCAGGGUUAGAAAGAAAAAGACCAAGUGCAAGAAUUGGAACAGAUAAGAAGCUUACCAGGGCAUGAUGCCAUUGGGUUGGAUGUCAUGCACGGGCCAAUAGAGCUCCCUCCCUAUCUCUUACGAAGCUCUCCCUACGACCCACUUCAGAGCAGCCGGUCGUGCUUUUUUCCAACCCAACUUCUGCAUCGCCGCAGAUCAGCGAAAGGAGCUGCUGCCGGCAGCCAAGCUCACCUUCCGCACUGCUACAGAUCAGCUAGCAUGUCGAGUUUACAUGAUCCGAGAGAGACUCAGUCGAGCAACAUAAAUGAAAAAGGAAAAGUACCAACGUUUUGAGAAAAUGAAUUCAGUUAGUCAUACAAGAAUAUGUUCAGAAGAUAAAAAUCAUUUAGACACACCUCACGCAAAUUUUCUCAAAGAAAUUCUUCAUGACAUCUUCCGGAACCUACCUGUUCAGAAAAACAAAGUAAGAGAGCAGACAUAUGCAGCACAAUUACCAUCUAGGAACUUGUGGUGUGAAACCAUCAAAGUACAAAAAAGAUAUAUGAAUAUACUGUUUCCUUAUUUAUUUAAUUUUAUUCCAGAUUACAGUUGAAAUGUUUAUAAAGUACAUAUUCUUGGGUAGCAUUUCUUUCUCAUCUUGUCUGCACAAUAAACAGAUUAAGGCUUAAUAUUAUUACUGAGCUCAGAGAUCGAUCAACAAGUCAUAUGCUCUAAUUUAGAAAAGAACUAUGUGCAUUUACUUACUGGAGGAAGAAACCAAGGUCAAAAGGCAAAAUGGCAGUCUUCAUAUCAUGCGUCAAGCAUAACUACAUUGCCUUAUGAACUGAAGUAAAAAUUAGAAUUAUCAAGCAACAGUACUAACAACCAACAGUGACGAGACUUGCUCUUGCACAAAUGUUUAUCCCAACAAAGGAUCGCGAACACGCUAGAUACACUAACUGAGGCUCAUUCCCUUUGCUUGAGGCACUGUCUUAGGAACAACUUCAGAGUAGGUCGAUUAAAACUUAGAAGAAACGGAGAUACACAUGUUAACUAAUAGACUGGCAUUUGUCACUUUGUGAUUGAAAUUAACUAUGAAUAAGGACUCUGGAAGAUGAACAUACAGUUGUGUGGUCGAAGUGCGAGGAACAUUGUUGCUGGCAGAAGAGCAAUCAUGAAAAUCAGCGCAAAUAUGCUUAGGGUGAUUUCGAUGGGCACUCACUUGCUACAGCGGGCGCGCCAUUUAGCUGCCACAAUAUUGAAUUUGCUAUUUUUUCUCAAAAUAGAACUUUGCGAAUAGUACGACACUAUAGAAUCAACUAAAGCUCAACAACAUUAUUGAUGCAUGUACAUCUAUUAAUUAGACCAAUAAUGCUUCCACAAAGAAUAAUUAAUCUUUACAACCCUUUCACUUGUGGUCAUUUUACCAGGAUAAUAGUAAUUCUAAAACAUACAAAUACAAGUUUUAUCUACAAAAUUAAUUAACUAAAUGAUUCAAACAAGCACUGGUAUUCCCAAUUACAUUAAUCUCAUGGAAAAUGGUACAAGGAAAACUUUAGAUAAUUAGAUACGGCAAAGGAACUUUCAAUGAAGUUGUAGGAAAAAUAAGCUACUGCAGUUAAUUUGAACAUCAGUGAAUCAACUGUAGGCAUACUGGCUCCAUCCUUUUAAUUCCUUUUAAUUCACAGUAAAGCUUGCAAUACUGAGGAAAAAAAAGCAAGUAAUCAACCACCUUAAUUUGUUAGUACGACAUCAAUCCGGCGCUUAGAAGCUUGCAUACUGUGAUAAAAAAAAUCAGAGAGCAUGCCGUAGGUACAAGAAGCAAGCAAAUAGCCAGCUUAAUUAAUUAGUAGGACCUCGAUUGCUUAGACUAAUUCAAUUGCAGCGGGAAGACACAAGACCAACCCACAUGAUUAACUAACUGUAUUACAUGCUCAGAGUCAAAUUAGAGAGAUGGCACGUCUUGGGAUGAAAUCUAGUUGCUGAACAAAAAUUAUGGUGACAUUCUGCCAUGCCCAGAGUCGUAAUUCAUAGGUAGGUGGCGAUCUAAACAGGAAGAAAAAGACCAUGACAUUUUUUGUACCAGUGCAAUAACACCGCAUAAGCAAGUUUUCAUGAAAUUGCAACACGAACUGACCCUUUUUUUUCAAACACGCCUAUCGUUGGGUUUGCAGAAACACCAGGUCCCUAGAAAGCAAGCUUGCUACAGUAUGGUCUCUCUAAAUGUUCAGCUCCGGCUGCUACGGAAGUAUGCUUCAAGGCAACAAGAGAGUGAUGGAUUUAUGUGGAGGGCAUCAAAAAUAUGGAGUAGAACUUGUAUUACCCUAAGAACCAGCAUUGGGGCAGAGAAAUUAAACCUUAGAUCCAGCAAGGAAGCUUUAGUAUUUAGAUCACAUGAUCGGAAUAUGCAUUUGGCCUCCUCCUGGGGCGUAGGAUGUGCAGCUUCAGCAAGUAGUGUAUUUCCAGGUACCUUCAAGUGGUGUUUAGCUAGCAAAAAAAAUCAGAGAAUAUUAAUUUUCAAAACCAGAUAAACUGUGUAACAAUCAGUCAAAGAACGGUGGUUUCCGCUAGUUCCAGAAAAGAAGAGGACAAGUUCCAGAUGAUUUGAUAUGUUGUGCUUGGUCAAUAUAAUUUUAGUAAAUAUCACACCAUAUACCUUCAGAGUUCUGGUUGCCAAGCAUCUUUAGAUGCCCAACCUUCAGUCAAGAUGGCAAUGGCAUCAUCUUCUCUCACCUACAGGCCACAGUCCUCUUCUACUCUUGUUCCUCCUGGCCUACUCGUGCAGCGCAUCGCCCAGCGGUCAACCCUCCUGUCCUGUAAAGUGAGUUGGCCCGGUGUUCCCAUA